GGGCAUCCCGGAGGCAGGAAAGGCUUCGGCCGGACAGGGAUGGGCAUGCGGCGCAUUAGGCAGUAGGCGGGGUAACGGCCCACCUAACCGACGAUGCGUAGGGGUUCUGAGAGGAAGGUCCCCCACACUGGUACUGAGACACGGACCAGACUCCUACGGGAGGCAGCAGUGAGGAAUAUUGGUCAAUGGUCGGGAGACUGAACCAGCCAAGCCGCGUGAGGGAUGAAGGUACAGAGUAUCGUAAACCUCUUUUGUCAGGGAACAAAGGCGGGGACGUGUCCCCGGAUGAGUGUACCUGAAGAAAAAGCAUCGGCUAACUCCGUGCCAGCAGCCGCGGUAAUACGGAGGAUGCGAGCGUUAUCCGGAUUUAUUGGGUUUAAAGGGUGCGCAGGCGGUCUGUUAAGUCAGCGGUCAAAGCCCGGGGCUCAACCCCGGCCCGCCGUUGAAACUGGCAGUCUCGAGUUGGAGAGAAGUAUGCGGAAUGCGCGGUGUAGCGGUGAAAUGCAUAGAUAUCGCGCAGAACUCCGAUUGCGAAGGCAGCAUGCCGGCUCCACACUGACGCUGAGGCACGAAAGCGUGGGUAUCGAACAGGAUUAGAUACCCUGGUAGUCCACGCAGUAAACGAUGAAUGCUGGCUGUCCGGGGGGAUUGACCCCUGGCCCCGAAG
Molecule: ribosomal RNA, 667 nt
Filed under: uncultured bacterium
Lineage: Bacteria
Description: bacterial SSU rRNA
Rfam family: Bacterial small subunit ribosomal RNA
Source: RNAcentral